GCCAGGCAUGGUGGUGCAUGCCUGUAAUCCCAGCAGCUUGGGAGGCUGAGUCAGGAGGAUCAUGAGUUCAAAGCCAGCCUCGGCAAUGGUGAGGCAUUUAGCAACUCAAUGAGACCCUGUCUCUA
RNAcentral lists this small RNA (125 nucleotides) under Marmota monax (woodchuck). The record is from RNAcentral. Lineage: Eukaryota; Metazoa; Chordata; Mammalia; Rodentia; Sciuridae.